UGAAUUUCGAUUUGGAAAAUUUUGACCUUCUCCCUCCGAUGUUCUUUCACUUUUCGCAGAUUACAAGUCUUUCAAAAUCAUAAUAGUUGAUUUCUCCCAUCUAUGAGGAUUAUGAAAGGUUUAUGGCAAAACAUAAACAAGAUCAAGUUGAACAAUCUAUUGAAGAAUUAAGAUCCAUGAAAAAAAAUGACCUAACGACAAUUCAUAAAGUCAUCAACAAUGCGAAAUCUAGCGACAUUAAGAUUGUUGAAGAUGGAAGUAAGAAAAAAGUCUUAAACAUUGAUUCAGUGGAGAUUUGAUCUGCCUCAUCAGAACUUGACAAAUCUGAAGAAUAUUGGAAACAUCAGGUAGUGUAAUUUAUAUAAAAUUACAAAGUUAUAUAUAUAGUUGGUUGUAUAUUAAGAUAACAUAUAAAAAGUAUUAUGAGACAGUUCCUAAUUGUAUAUUCUAUUAGUUGUAUACCAAUUACUAAAGUUAGGUAUAUAGUGGGUUGUAUAUUAAGGUAACACUUACAAAGUCUUA
Molecule: long non-coding RNA, 522 nt
Organism: Solanum lycopersicum (tomato)
Lineage: Eukaryota; Viridiplantae; Streptophyta; Magnoliopsida; Solanales; Solanaceae
Source: RefSeq, a predicted model, not a curated record